Molecule: ribosomal RNA, 1223 nt
Filed under: Candidatus Phytoplasma ulmi
Lineage: Bacteria; Bacillati; Mycoplasmatota; Mollicutes; Acholeplasmatales; Acholeplasmataceae
Description: bacterial SSU rRNA
Rfam family: Bacterial small subunit ribosomal RNA
Source: RNAcentral
GCUAAGACUGGAUAGGAAACAGAAACAUCUUUUUGUUUUUAAAAGACCUUCUUCGGAGGGUAUGCUUAAAGAGGGGCUUGCGCCACAUUAGUUAGUUGGUGAGGUAAAGGCUUACCAAGAUUAUGAUGUGUAGCUGGACUGAGAGGUUGAACAGCCACAUUGGGACUGAGACACGGCCCAAACUCCUACGGGAGGCAGCAGUAGGGAAUUUUCGGCAAUGGAGGAAACUCUGACCGAGCGACGCCGCGUGAACGAUGAAGUAUUUCGGUAUGUAAAGUUCUUUUAUUGAAGAAGAAAAAAUAGUGGAAAAACUAUAUUGACGUUAUUCAAUGAAUAAGCCCCGGCUAACUAUGUGCCAGCAGCCGCGGUAAGACAUAGGGGGCGAGCGUUAUCCGGAAUUAUUGGGCGUAAAGGGUGCGUAGGCGGUUAGAUAAGUCUAUAAUUUAAUUUCAGUGCUUAACGCUGUCUUGUUAUAGAAACUGUCUUGACUAGAGUGAGAUAGAGGCAAGCGGAAUUCCAUGUGUAGCGGUAAAAUGUGUAAAUAUAUGGAGGAACACCAGAAGCGUAGGCGGCUUGCUGGGUCUUUACUGACGCUGAGGCACGAAAGCGUGGGGAGCAAACAGGAUUAGAUACCCUGGUAGUCCACGCUGUAAACGAUGAGUACUAAGUGUCGGGGAAACUCGGUACUGAAGUUAACACAUUAAGUACUCCGCCUGAGUAGUACGUACGCAAGUAUGAAACUUAAAGGAAUUGACGGGACUCCGCACAAGCGGUGGAUCAUGUUGUUUAAUUCGAAGAUACACGAAAAACCUUACCAGGUCUUGACAUACUCUGCAAAGCUAUAGAAAUAUAGUGGAGGUUAUCAGGGAUACAGGUGGUGCAUGGUUGUCGUCAGUUCGUGUCGUGAGAUGUUAGGUUAAGUCCUAAAACGAACGCAACCCCUGUCGUUAGUUGCCAGCACGUAAUGGUGGGGACUUUAGCGAGACUGCCAAUUAAACAUUGGAGGAAGGUGGGGAUAACGUCAAAUCAUCAUGCCCCUUAUGAUCUGGGCUACAAACGUGAUACAAUGGCUAUUACAAAGAGUAGCUGAAACGCGAGUUUUUAGCCAAUCUCAAAAAGGUAGUCUCAGUACGGAUUGAAGUCUGCAACUCGACUUCAUGAAGCUGGAAUCGCUAGUAAUCGCGAAUCUGCAUGUCGCGGUGAAUACGUUCUCGGGGUUUGUA